GACGAACGCGGCGGCGUGCCUAAUACAUGCAAGUAGAACGCUGAAGGAGGAGCUUGCUUCUCUGGAUGAGUUGCGAACGGGUGAGUAACGCGUAGGUAACCUGCCUGGUAGCGGGGGAUAACUAUUGGAAACGAUAGCUAAUACCGCAUAAUAGCAGUUAUUGCAUGAUAACUGUUUGAAAGGUGCAAUUGCACCACUACCAGAUGGACCUGCGUUGUAUUAGCUAGUUGGUGGGGUAACGGCUCACCAAGGCAACGAUACAUAGCCGACCUGAGAGGGUGAUCGGCCACACUGGGACUGAGACACGGCCCAGACUCCUACGGGAGGCAGCAGUAGGGAAUCUUCGGCAAUGGACGGAAGUCUGACCGAGCAACGCCGCGUGAGUGAAGAAGGUUUUCGGAUCGUAAAGCUCUGUUGUAAGAGAAGAACGAGUGUGAGAAGUGGAAAGUUCACCACUGUGACGG
Molecule: ribosomal RNA, 464 nt
Filed under: Streptococcus mitis
Lineage: Bacteria; Bacillati; Bacillota; Bacilli; Lactobacillales; Streptococcaceae
Description: bacterial SSU rRNA
Rfam family: Bacterial small subunit ribosomal RNA
Source: RNAcentral